AAAAGAAACCAACAGGGAUUGCCCUAGUAACGGCGAGUGAAGCGGCAACAGCUCAAAUUUGAAAUCUGGCCCCCGGGUCCGAGUUGUAAUUUGUAGAGGAUGCUUUUGGCGAGGUGCCUUCCGAGUUCCCUGGAACGGGACGCCAUAGAGGGUGAGAGCCCCGUCUGGUCGGACACCGAGCCUCUGUAAAGCUCCUUCGACGAGUCGAGUAGUUUGGGAAUGCUGCUCAAAAUGGGAGGUAUAUGUCUUCUAAAGCUAAAUAUUGGCCAGAGACCGAUAGCGCACAAGUAGAGUGAUCGAAAGAUGAAAAGCACUUUGAAAAGAGGGUUAAAAAGUACGUGAAAUUGUUGAAAGGGAAGCGCCUAUGACCAGACUUGGGCCCGGUGAAUCACCCAGCGUUCUCGCUGGUGCACUUCGCCGGGCACAGGCCAGCAUCAGUUUGGCGCGGGGGAGAAAGGCUUCGGGAAUGUGGCUCCCCUGGGAGUGUUAUAGCCCGUUGCGCAAUACCCUGCGCUGGACUGAGGUACGCGCAUUCGCAAGGAUGCUGGCGUAAUGGUCAUCAGCGACCCGUCUUGAAACACGGACCAAGGAGUCGUCUUCGUAUGCGAGUGUUCGGGUGUCAAACCCCUACGCGUAAUGAAAGUGAACGCAGGUGAGAGCUUCGGCGCAUCAUCGACCGAUCCUGAUGUUCUCGGAUGGAUUUGAGUAAGAGCAUACGGGGCCGGACCCGAAAGAAGGUGAACUAUGCCUGUAUAGGGUGAAGCCAGAGGAAACUCUGGUGGAGGCUCGCAGCGGUUCUGACGUGCGAAUCGAUCGUCAAAUAUGGGCAUGGGGGCGAAAGACUAAUCGA
Molecule: ribosomal RNA, 850 nt
Filed under: Cordyceps militaris
Lineage: Eukaryota; Fungi; Ascomycota; Sordariomycetes; Hypocreales; Cordycipitaceae
Description: partial large subunit ribosomal RNA
Rfam family: Eukaryotic large subunit ribosomal RNA
Source: RNAcentral